GACGUAGGGCGCGAGCGUUGUCCGGAUUUAUUGGGCGUAAAGAGCUCGUAGGCGGCUUGUCGCGUCGACCGUGAAAACUUGGGGCUCAACCCCAAGCCUGCGGUCGAUACGGGCAGGCUAGAGUUCGGUAGGGGAGACUGGAAUUCCUGGUGUAGCGGUGAAAUGCGCAGAUAUCAGGAGGAACACCGGUGGCGAAGGCGGGUCUCUGGGCCGACACUGACGCUGAGGAGCGAAAGCGUGGGGAGCGAACAGG
Molecule: ribosomal RNA, 253 nt
Filed under: uncultured bacterium
Lineage: Bacteria
Description: partial 16S ribosomal RNA
Rfam family: Bacterial small subunit ribosomal RNA
Source: RNAcentral